ACACUCUUUUAAGAUUGACCCAGUGAUUUAUGAAGCUAACACAAAAGGGUAAAGUAAGUCUCUAUACAAUCCAGAGAAGGCAUCAGAGAACUCCUCCUUGGGUCCUGUCUGGAGUCAUUGCU
Molecule: small nucleolar RNA, 122 nt
Organism: Echinops telfairi (small Madagascar hedgehog)
Lineage: Eukaryota; Metazoa; Chordata; Mammalia; Afrosoricida; Tenrecidae
Product: small nucleolar RNA SNORA26
Exons: 1
Source: RefSeq, a predicted model, not a curated record